This 253-nucleotide ribosomal RNA is filed under the name uncultured bacterium. Its description in RNAcentral is "partial 16S ribosomal RNA". It matches the Rfam family "Bacterial small subunit ribosomal RNA", at positions 524 to 776 of the family's 1533-position model. The record is from RNAcentral.
UACGAAGGGUGCAACCGUUGCUCGGAAUUAUUGGGCGUAAAGCGCACGUAGGCGGCUUAGCAAGUCGGAAGUGAAAGCCCUUGGCUCAACCAAGGAAGUGCUUUCGAAACUGCUGAGCUUGAGUAGUUAAGAGGAUCGCGGAAUUCCCGGUGUAGAGGUGAAAUUCGUAGAUAUCGGGAGGAACACCAGUGGCGAAGGCGGCGAUCUGGGAACAUACUGACGCUGAGGUGCGAAAGCGUGGGGAGCAAACAGG